GUGCCGGUGGCUCAAAAGGGUAGGGCGCUGGUCCUAUAUGCCAGAGGUGGUGGGUUCAAAUCCAGCCCCAGCCA
Non-coding RNA from Otolemur garnettii (small-eared galago), 74 nucleotides. Lineage: Eukaryota; Metazoa; Chordata; Mammalia; Primates; Galagidae. The record is from Rfam.